AACGAACGCUGGCAGCGCGCCUAAUACAUGCAAGUCGAGCGAGAAGGUGUAGCAAUACACUUGUAAAGCGGCGAACGGGUGAGGAAUGCAUGGGUAACCUACCCUCGAGUGGGGAAUAACUAGCCGAAAGGUUAGCUAAUACCGCAUACGUUUCCGGAACUUCGGUUUCGAAAGGAAAGCAAUACCGUGGGUAUUGCGCUCCUGGAUGGGCUCAUGUCCUAUCAGCUUGUUGGUGAGGUAACGGCUCACCAAGGCUUCGACGGGUAGCUGGUCUGAGAGGACGAUCAGCCACACUGGCACUGCGACACGGGCCA
RNAcentral lists this ribosomal RNA (314 nucleotides) under uncultured bacterium. RNAcentral describes it as "bacterial SSU rRNA". It matches the Rfam family "Bacterial small subunit ribosomal RNA", at positions 29 to 333 of the family's 1533-position model. The record is from RNAcentral.